CACGUCGGGUGCGAGCGUUGUCCGGAAUUAUUGGGCGUAAAGAGCUCGUAGGCGGUGUGUCGCGUCGGCCGUGAAAACCUGCAGCUUAACUGUGGGCGUGCGGUCGAUACGGGCAGGCUGGAGUUCGGUAGGGGAGACUGGAAUUCCUGGUGUAGCGGUGAAAUGCGCAGAUAUCAGGAGGAACACCGGUGGCGAAGGCGGGUCUCUGGGCCGAUACUGACGCUGAGGAGCGAAAGCGUGGGGAGCGAACAGG
RNAcentral lists this ribosomal RNA (253 nucleotides) under uncultured bacterium. RNAcentral describes it as "partial 16S ribosomal RNA". It matches the Rfam family "Bacterial small subunit ribosomal RNA", at positions 524 to 776 of the family's 1533-position model. The record is from RNAcentral.